AACGAACGCUGGCGGCGUGGAUAAGACAUGCAAGUCGAACGAGAUCUCUUUCUGUAGCAAUACAGAAAGAAGUCUAGUGGCGAACGGGUGCGUAACACGUGGGCAAUCUGCCGAGAAGUGGGGGAGUAGCUCGCCGAAAGGACGAAUUAAUACCGCAUGUGAUCAUCCCGCGAUUGCGGGAGAAAUACAAAGGUGCCGCAAGGUACCGUCUUUUGUAGGAGCCCGCCGGCCUAUCAGCUUGUUGGUGAGGUAACGGCUCACCAAGG
Molecule: ribosomal RNA, 266 nt
Filed under: uncultured bacterium
Lineage: Bacteria
Description: partial 16S ribosomal RNA
Rfam family: Bacterial small subunit ribosomal RNA
Source: RNAcentral